This 156-nucleotide small RNA is filed under the name Algibacter luteus. RNAcentral describes it as "Arenitalea lutea Flavo-1 RNA". Lineage: Bacteria; Pseudomonadati; Bacteroidota; Flavobacteriia; Flavobacteriales; Flavobacteriaceae. The record is from RNAcentral.
CUGCAGCUGAUGGUGCGUUAGGGAUAGCAGCGGCAUCCUUUUACUUUUAAAAGUAAAUGAUUAAUAACCGUAGAUAAGACUAUACCAAAAUAAGAGUUUUCUAGUCUAAGCAGAUUUAAUUAAAAGUAAAAGAUAUAGUGUAUAGCACGCCCCUUG